ACUCCAGACUCCUACGGGAGGCAGCAGUGGGGGAUAUUGCACAAUGGGGGGAACCCUGAUGCAGCGACGCCGCGUGAACGAAGAAAUAUUUCGGUAUGUAAAGUUCUAUCAGCAGGGAAGAAAAUGACAGUACCUGACCAAGAAGCCCCGGCUAACUACGUGCCAGCAGCCGCGGUAAUACGUAGGGGGCAAGCGUUAUCCGGAUUUACUGGGUGUAAAGGGAGCGUAGACGGCGACGCAAGUCUGGAGUGAAAGCCCGGGGCCCAACCCCGGGACUGCUCUGGAAACUGCGUCGCUGGAGUACGGGAGGGGCAGGCGGAAUUCCUGGUGUAGCGGUGAAAUGCGUAGAUAUCAGGAGGAACACCGGCGGCGAAGGCGGCCUGCUGGACCGUGACUGACGUUGAGGCUCGAGAGCGUGGGGAGCAAACAGGAUUAGAUACCCGAGUAA
RNAcentral lists this ribosomal RNA (448 nucleotides) under uncultured bacterium. RNAcentral describes it as "partial 16S ribosomal RNA". It matches the Rfam family "Bacterial small subunit ribosomal RNA", at positions 328 to 793 of the family's 1533-position model. The record is from RNAcentral.